RNAcentral lists this ribosomal RNA (492 nucleotides) under uncultured bacterium. RNAcentral describes it as "partial 16S ribosomal RNA". It matches the Rfam family "Bacterial small subunit ribosomal RNA", at positions 29 to 507 of the family's 1533-position model. The record is from RNAcentral.
AGUGAACGCUGGCGGUAGGCCUAAUACAUGCAAGUCGAACGGCAACACAGUAAGCUUUUGCCUUUACGGUUGGCGACUGGCGGGUGGGUGACGCAUACAUCGGCUUCUUCUUUUUCUUGGGGGAUAUCGUAGGGCAACUUCUGCUAACACCUCAUACCUUCUACCGCUUAAAUCAGUAGUUCUUCGCACCUUUCCCGUUUGUUUGAGCCGAUUCCGGAUUAGCUAGUUGGUUGGGUAAAGGCCCACCAAGGCAACGAUGCGUAGCUGGUCGGAGAGGAUGAUCGGCCACACUGGAACUGAGACACGGUCCAGACUCCUACGGGAGGCAGCAGUGGGGAAUAUUGGACAAUGGGCGAAAGCCUGACGCAGCAAUACCGCGUGGGUGAAGAAGGCCUUCGGGUUGUAAAGCCCUGUUGUUGGGAAAGAAAAGAAGUAGAAUAAAACACGGAUGUUCUGACGGUACCCAAAGAAAAAGCAACGGCUAACUACGUG